Molecule: unclassified non-coding RNA, 222 nt
Filed under: Hevea brasiliensis (rubber tree)
Lineage: Eukaryota; Viridiplantae; Streptophyta; Magnoliopsida; Malpighiales; Euphorbiaceae
Source: RNAcentral
AAUUUCUGAGACAAAGGUUUUGCAAGUAACUUGUGGUGGAUGGAGGCGCCCUCAUUCUUAUUUUCUUGGUGAUGUACCAGAGAUGAAAAAUUGCCUUGCAUAUGUCAAGGAUGGAGUCAUUUAUGUUCAUAGACACUGGGUGACCACUAAUGAGAGGGUGAUGUAUCCCAAAAAUUUUCAUCUGCAAUUCCAUGGCAGGGAGAUACAUACCAUAUGUUUUAU